Molecule: long non-coding RNA, 899 nt
Filed under: Homo sapiens (human)
Lineage: Eukaryota; Metazoa; Chordata; Mammalia; Primates; Hominidae
Description: HSALNT0278808
Source: RNAcentral
GAAAGGUUAAGUUCUGAUAUCCCUAUUUAGGGUCUAAGAAGAGAGGAAAAAAUGGGUGCUUUAGUUUUUAGUAAUAAUACCCAAAAGUCACCACCAAACCUUGGGGUUUGAAUAUUACCAAGAAAGCAGAGUAUUGAGAGAAAAUUCACACGAGCAUCACUUAGCCUAGAGAGGUGAUUCUUUUCGUUCCUUCAAUAAGCCAAGCAGUAAUUGUGAGCAAGCAGAAGACAGGGCCACCAUUUCCCGAGGUUGGUCAGUCUUUUCUCUCUCUCUUUUUGCCUUAGUCUCACUUGCACGUUUCUUGCCCCAGCCAGCGUGUCUAGUGACCACCACUUAGAAACUUCUCAUCCCAGUCUGCAUAAGGGGCUGGAGUCAAUAUGUGGUUGGCACGUAGUGCUCUCAGCCAGCUCGUUGCACUCUAAAGAGACUCAGGUGGUCAGCACUCACUCAAUCCUCCACGUGCUCUGACAGGCUGGGCUUUGACUGGGUAUCUGGGCACUUAGUGUGCUUCUUUUCCUAUAAGCUCACAAUUGCAUUGUUCUGACUGGUUACGCCCACACUAACCUCCUCCGUUACAUCAUGGGUUAAGGGAGUUAUUUACAGCUUACGAGUAUAGCAGGGAUUUAUGUCUUUGGGUAAAGUAACUAUGUUUUAUCUCAACACACACAACUUCUCACAAACAACAUAUGCUUAUCCCAACAGGGCACACAUUUACGAUUUUGGCAGGUUUUUGAGUAGUAACAUGAUUUUCACCUCUUCUAAAAAAAUUCUGUAGUGCAUUUGAAGGGAAACACGAUUACAAGCAAAAGGACAUUUUGGUGGGUGUUAUGGGCUGAAUUGUGUACCCCCAAAAUUCAUAUAAUAAAGUCCUAACCUCAGAAUGUGACCAUAUUUGGAGC